This 362-nucleotide ribosomal RNA is filed under the name uncultured Desulfobulbus sp. RNAcentral's name for it is "bacterial SSU rRNA". It matches the Rfam family "Bacterial small subunit ribosomal RNA", at positions 1024 to 1382 of the family's 1533-position model. Lineage: Bacteria; Pseudomonadati; Thermodesulfobacteriota; Desulfobulbia; Desulfobulbales; Desulfobulbaceae. The record is from RNAcentral.
GAAUCUGGAGACAGGUGCUGCAUGGCUGUCGUCAGCUCGUGUCGUGAGAUGGUUGGGUUAAGUCCCGCAACGAGCGCCAACCCUUGCCUUUAGUUGCCAGCAGUUCGGCUGGGCACUCUAAAGGGACUGCCGGUAGUUAAACCGGAGGAAGGUGGGGAUGACGUCAAGUCCUCAUGGCCUUUAUGACCAGGGCUACACACGUACUACAAUGGCCGAUACAAAGGGCAGCGACACUGCGAGGUGAAGCCAAUACCCGUAAAAUCGGUCUCAGUCCGGAUUGGAGUCUGCAACUCGACUCCAUGAAGUUGGAAUCGCUAGUAAUCGUGGAUCAGCAUGCCACGGUGAAUACGUUCCCGGGCCUU